Molecule: ribosomal RNA, 478 nt
Filed under: uncultured bacterium
Lineage: Bacteria
Description: partial 16S ribosomal RNA
Rfam family: Bacterial small subunit ribosomal RNA
Source: RNAcentral
GACGAACGCUGGCGGCGUGCUUAACACAUGCAAGUCGAAUGGUAAGGCCCUUCGGGGUACACGAGUGGCGAACGGGUGAGUAACACGUGGGUGAUCUGCCCUGCACUUCGGGAUAAGCCUGGGAAACUGGGUCUAAUACCGGAUAGGACCACUGCCUGCAUGGGUGGUGGUGGAAAGCUUUUGCGGUGUGGGAUGGGCCCGCGGCCUAUCAGCUUGUUGGUGGGGUGAUGGCCUACCAAGGCGACGACGGGUAGCCGGCCUGAGAGGGGGACCGGCCACACUGGGACUGAGAUACGGCCCAGACUCAUACGGGAGGCAGCAGUGGGGAAUAUUGCACAAUGGGCGCAAGCCUGAUGCAGCGACGCCGCGUGAGGGAUGACGGCCUUCGGGUUGUAAACCUCUUUCAGCACCGACGAAGCGCAAGUGACGGUAGGUGCAGAAGAAGGACCGGCCAACUACGUGCCAGCAGCCGCAGUAA